This 105-nucleotide small RNA is filed under the name Flavobacterium urumqiense. Its description in RNAcentral is "Flavo-1 RNA". It matches the Rfam family "Flavo-1 RNA". The record is from RNAcentral. Lineage: Bacteria; Pseudomonadati; Bacteroidota; Flavobacteriia; Flavobacteriales; Flavobacteriaceae.
AAAUAGCCCUGAUAGAAGUGAAAAUCCUUUUUAGUCUUGAACUUGUUUCAGGAUCCUGAAACAAGUUCAGGACUAAAAAGAUUGCAACGUAUAGCAGGAAUUAGC